Molecule: ribosomal RNA, 694 nt
Filed under: uncultured Acidobacteriaceae bacterium
Lineage: Bacteria; Pseudomonadati; Acidobacteriota; Terriglobia; Terriglobales; Acidobacteriaceae
Description: bacterial SSU rRNA
Rfam family: Bacterial small subunit ribosomal RNA
Source: RNAcentral
GAAAGCCUGACGCAGCAAACGCCGCGUGGAGGAUGAAGGCCCUUGGGUUGUAAACUCCUGUCGGCUGGGAAGAAAUCGUUUCGGGGCUAAUACCCUCGGACGUUGACUGUACCAGCAAAGGAAGCCCCGGCUAACUCUGUGCCAGCAGCCGCGGUAAUACAGAGGGGGCCAGCGUUAUUCGGAAUUAUUGGGCGUAAAGGGCGCGUAGGCGGCCAUGCGUGUCUUCCGUGAAAUCCCUCGGCUUAACUGAGGACGUGCGGAAGAAACUGCAAGGCUCGAGUCCGGGAGAGGGGGGUGGAAUUCCCAGUGUAGCGGUGAAAUGCGUAGAUAUUGGGAGGAACACCGGUGGCGAAGGCGGCCCCCUGGACCGGUACUGACGCUGAGGCGCGAAAGCGUGGGUAGCAAACGGGAUUAGAUACCCCGGUAGUCCACGCCGUAAACGAUGGGCACUUGGUGUCGCGGGUAUCGACCCCUGCGGUGCCGAAGCUAACGCAUUAAGUGCCCCGCCUGGGGAGUACGGUCGCAAGGCUGAAACUCAAAGGAAUUGACGGGGGCCCGCACAAGCGGUGGAGCAUGUGGUUCAAUUCGAAGCAACGCGAAGAACCUUACCUGGGUUUGAAGAUCAGGUGACCGGGGGCGAAAUCCCUCUUUCCCGCAAGGGACACCUGGUUAGGUGCUGCAUGGCUGUCGUCAG